RNAcentral lists this ribosomal RNA (459 nucleotides) under uncultured bacterium. RNAcentral's name for it is "partial 16S ribosomal RNA". It matches the Rfam family "Bacterial small subunit ribosomal RNA", at positions 338 to 795 of the family's 1533-position model. The record is from RNAcentral.
CCUACGGGUGGCAGCAGUGAGGAAUAUUGGUCAAUGGUCGUGAGACUGAACCAGCCAAGCCGCGUGAGGGAUGAAGGUACAGAGUAUCGUAAACCUCUUUUGUCAGGGAACAAAGGCGGGGACGUGUCCCCGGAUGAGUGUACCUGAAGAAAAAGCAUCGGCUAACUCCGUGCCAGCAGCCGCGGUAAUACGGAGGAUGCGAGCGUUAUCCGGAUUUAUUGGGUUUAAAGGGUGCGCAGGCGGUCUGUUAAGUCAGCGGUAAAAGCCCGGGGCUCAACCCCGGCCCGCCGUUGAAACUGGCAGUCUCGAGUUGGAGAGAAGUAUGCGGAAUGCGCGGUGUAGCGGUGAAAUGCAUAGAUAUCGCGCAGAACUCCGAUUGUGAAGGCAGCAUGCCGGCUCCACACUGACGCUGAGGCACGAAAGCGUGGGUAUCGAACAGGAUUAGAUACCCUUGUAGUC